Molecule: ribosomal RNA, 480 nt
Filed under: uncultured bacterium
Lineage: Bacteria
Description: partial 16S ribosomal RNA
Rfam family: Bacterial small subunit ribosomal RNA
Source: RNAcentral
GAUGAACGCUCGCGGCAGGCCUAACGCAUGCAAGUCGAGGGGGAAGUUACUUUCGGGUGACUGAGACCGGCGUACGGGUGCGUAACGCGUAUACAAUCUGCCUUUCACUGGGGGGUAGCCCGAAGAAAUUUGGAUUAAUACCCCAUAGUAUAUAGGGACGGCAUCGUUUUUAUAUUAAAGCUUAGGUGGUGAAAGAUGAGUAUGCGUUCUAUUAGCUAGUUGGAGAGGUAACGGCUCCCCAAGGCGAUGAUAGAUAGGGGUUCUGAGAGGGAUGUCCCCCACACUGGUACUGAGAUACGGACCAGACUCCUACGGGAGGCAGCAGUGAGGAAUAUUGGACAAUGGUCGGAAGACUGAUCCAGCCAUGCCGCGUGCAGGAUGAAGGUCUUAUGGAUUGUAAACUGCUUUUGUAAUGGAAGAAUAAGGGCUACGCGUAGUUUGAUGACGGUACCUUACGAAUAAGCAUCGGCUAACUCCGUG